Long non-coding RNA from Ictalurus punctatus (channel catfish), 956 nucleotides. Lineage: Eukaryota; Metazoa; Chordata; Actinopteri; Siluriformes; Ictaluridae. The record is from Ensembl.
CGCCUCUCAGGGCCAGAACAGCGCUAGCAGCACGCCGCAUCAAUUUGCCGUCCUCUCCUCCAGCUGUCUGGGCCUUGUGAAGGGCUUCUGCUGAAACGGCGCUAACAGCUUCUGCUGGAAAAGCUCCAGCAAAUGAGCGUCACAAAACUCAGCAGGGAAGAUCAGCGAAUGAUUACUCCUUUACUCCAAUUUCAUUUCAGUCUUUUUGUCUUUUUCAUGCAGUGAUAUUUGUCAGUCGUGAAUCUCAAAUACAGUACUAUGAAAGCUGCUGAAGACAAACCAGCGCAAGACGAACCUGUAUUGAAUUAGACAAUGUUGCAAGAUCAGUUAAUGAAAUAUUGAUAAGAACAUUCCUUCAACACAUGCUGCAGCAGCUGUUCUGGGCUUGGUAUGGAUCAAGGCUAUGGCUAUGGCUUUCCUGUAGAUGGUCAUAAAUUAAGGUGCAGCAAUCCUCUUGAAGUAUACUACAAGAAACAACAACAGCUAAAGGCCUUAAAGAACAGUAAAUAAUUGAAUGCUUGUACUGCUAUUCUUCUGCAUACACUCUACAGUUUCAGGGUCUCAAUUUAUUUUAUUUUUCAAUCAUUUAGUAAAUUUGUGUGAUUUUUUUUUUUGAUAGACCAAACUGAGCUAAAAAUUCCCACCAGAUUUACAAAAAUUAUUCUCUCAUUCUUUGUACUUGCAUAUAUGUUUAGAAACUAUAUCAGCAAUAAAUGACCAAACUCAUUCGCAACACAGCUAAUUUACAUUUACAUGACAAAACUCCUUAUACAACAAAGCUCACAGAGAGCUUGACAAAAGGAUAUUAAACACUUGUGCGCUAAUACGUCCAAUAAUGCAGCUCAGCCACCGCAGCGAAUCAGCUACCAAAGACAUACACCAACGCUUCCCCCUUUUAUAGGGCACCAUUACUUUUGUUCUAAUUGACUGGUUAGUCUUAUUUGUCUUAAUUUAUG